GAAAACUAUAUAUAGUAUUAAUGGGCCUAGUGUUAUUUAAAUUUAAUAAUAGGCCGAAUCGAAAGUAUGGUCUCAGCGAAAGUCGAACCCGAGACCUUACGGCUCGAGCAAGGCUCUAAACAACUGAGCAACGGGACCGGUUCGUGAUAAAAAAAAAAUUAUUUUUUUACAAAAAUUACUAAUACGGGUUAAAGACGAUUAUAUUAGAGCAUGGUCGUUCUAAAAAAGACUUACACAUACAAAACACCUACACUUGUUUUGUCUUAGGCAUCUCCAAUGCAACACUAAAAUUUACUCUAUAUUUCAUUCUAAAAUAGAGUAACUCUAUUAUAGAGUGAACCAUUGGAGCAAAUCCAACUCUAUAAUAGAGUUACUCUAUUUUAGAGUGAAAUAUAGAGUAAAUUUUAGUGUAGCAUUGGAGAUGGUCUUAGAUUUUCGUCAACUACAUUUUACACAAAAAGAGAAACCUAUCUCUUGGAGACUACCACUAACAUCAACAUAGACAUUGAUACAACGAUCUUGAAUCCUGAAUUGUCCCAAAACUUCUGUUUCUCCCAAGAUUCUU
RNAcentral lists this long non-coding RNA (565 nucleotides) under Brassica rapa (field mustard). Its description in RNAcentral is "long non-coding RNA (BRAP_LNC003937)". The record is from RNAcentral. Lineage: Eukaryota; Viridiplantae; Streptophyta; Magnoliopsida; Brassicales; Brassicaceae.